UAGGGAUAGUAAUAGAGAGAGAGGGAUAGUAAUAGAGAUAGGGAUAGUAAUAGAGAGAGAGGAUAGUAAUAGAGAGAGAGGAUAGUAAUAGAGAGAGAGGGAUAUAAUAGAGAGAGAGGAUAGUAAUAGAGAGAGAGGAUAGUAAUAGAGAGAGAGGAUAGUAUUAGAGAGAGAGGAGGGAUAGUAAUAGAGAGAGAGGUGGGAUAGUAAUAAAGAGAUAGGGAUAGUAAUAGAGAGAGGGAUAGUAAUGUAGAGAGAGGAUAGUAAUGGAGAGAGGGGGAUAGUAAUAGAGAAAGAUGGAUAGUAAUAGAGAGAGAGGAUAGUAAUAGAGAGAGAGGGAUAGUAAUAGAGAGAGAGGGGAUAGUAAUAGAGAGAGGGGAUAGUAAUAGAGAGAGGGAUAGUAAUAAAGAGAUAGGGAUAUAAUAGAGAGAGGGAUAGUAAUGUAGAAAGGGGAUAGUAAUAGAGAGAGAGGAUAGUAAUAGAGAGAGGAUAGUAAUAGAGAGAGAGGGAUAGUAAUAGAGAGAGAGGAUAGUAAUAGAGAGAGGGAUAGUAAUAGAGAGAGAGGGAUAGUAAUAGAGAGAGAGGGGUUAGUAAUAGAGAGAGAGGGAUAGUAAUGUAGAGAGAGGAUAGUAAUAGAGAGAGGUGGGAUAGUAAUAAAGAGAUAGGGAUAGUAAUAGAGAGAGGGAUAGUAAUAGAGAUAGGGAUAGUAAUAGAGAGAGGGAUAGUAAUGGAGAGAGAGGGACAGUAAUAGAGAGAGGGAUAGUAAUAGAGAGAGAGGGAUAGUAAUGUAGAGAGAGGAUAUUCAUAGAGAGAGGGAUACUCAUGGAGAGAGAGGAUUGUAACAGAGAGAGAGGGAUAUUCAUAGAGAGAUAGGGAUAGUAAUAGAGAGAGAGGUGGGAUAGUAAUAAAGAGAUAGGGAUAGUAAUAGAGAGAGAGGGAUAG
Molecule: long non-coding RNA, 942 nt
Filed under: Salmo salar (Atlantic salmon)
Lineage: Eukaryota; Metazoa; Chordata; Actinopteri; Salmoniformes; Salmonidae
Description: lncRNA (ENSSSAG00000096824.1)
Source: RNAcentral